This is a long non-coding RNA of Monodelphis domestica (gray short-tailed opossum), 1172 nucleotides long. RefSeq lists it as uncharacterized. The record is from RefSeq and is a predicted model, not a curated record. NCBI's taxonomy places the organism in Eukaryota, Metazoa, Chordata, Mammalia, Didelphimorphia, Didelphidae.
GAAGAAAAGCAGUAAGAUAGAAGAUGGGAACAUGAAAGAGAGGAAAAUGUCAUUUAAAGUGGAAUAUUGGCUCUGCUAAUAUGAGGCUAUACUGAAAUCCAGAUUAAAAAUUGCCUAUAGAGAAGCUUCUAAAUCUCUGCAUUGAGGAUUCCUUCAUUCUAAGGAGUGUGUGUUGAGACAGACAGAAGCAGAGAGAAAUAGAGAUGAAAACACAGGGAGAAUGGAAGACAGAAACACAUUUAUCACUUCUUCUUAGAGCCAAAACAGGAAUUUUGGUACCAUGAGGAGAGAGAAAGACAGAGAGAGAGACAGAGAGAGAUCCCUCCAUAAUAUGUAUGACCAAUUUGCAUAAUGAGAGCCUCUCUGAGGGACCACUAUCAGCUUAACAGCUUAUAGAUCAAGGAACAAUUAUAGAAUUAUAGAUCAAUUAUAGAAUUAUAGAGCUUAUAGAUCAAGGAACAAAAGUAGCCAAAUGGAUUGUCUCAUGCCAUAGUCCAUUCCCGUUGUUGGUGCUAGCCUAAAGACCUGUUCAGAAGAGAAUGGAGCUUAUACAAGUCACACUCCAGUUUCUCUCAUGCUGGUUAUCAAAGGGAACACAAAAUACUUCUGUGAAUUGAACCUGAUGACCUGUCCCACAAAGCCUGGCUCACUGUUGAUGCUGAUUAGAUGUGACCCUGAGGGAUUGCAAGACAUGCACCACUGCAAGAGAUGACAUAAACAGCAGGACGUUUUAAUACCUAUUAAAAAACAACAACAAAAACAGAAACAAACCUAUUAAAGUGGGAAGAUGGCUGAAAUCCCUGGAGACAGAAUUGAUGUUGCAGAAACUGAAUGCACACCAGGUGAGAGAAAGCUUCUUUAUCAACCGUAGAACAAUAAUAGAAGUAUUGGCCAGCCUAUUCCUCAUUAGCAGCAGAAGCCUCCAGGGUUUCAAAAAAUCAAUGAAGUAAAGAAGGACUGUAUCUCCCAUUGAUAAAAAGAAAAGAAAUGAACAAAACUAGGUAAAGAAAACAAAACAACAACAACAAAACUGCUUUCCCUUACCAUACCUCCAGAGAGUUGCAUCUCCCAAAUAUGUUUGAAAACCAGAGACUUUGAAUAUCUUGUUGAAGAGGUGGAGAUCAAUGCAGCUAAUUGUUUGCCAAAAAAUAAAAAGUUCAUUUACUUUCUGA